Molecule: long non-coding RNA, 617 nt
Filed under: Mytilus galloprovincialis (Mediterranean mussel)
Lineage: Eukaryota; Metazoa; Mollusca; Bivalvia; Mytilida; Mytilidae
Source: RNAcentral
AAAAAAUGUAGAAGUAUUUGUAAUCAAGACAUUUGUUCAUUUAAUUUGUUUAGAUAAUAACACAAAUCGAAACACUUAGAGGUAUAAAUGUUUUCUACGCAUGAGUGUUAGUGAAUGAAUUGUUAAUGAUAUAUUUUUGAUAAUUUUCAGAAUAUGGAAGUAGAAGGAGUGAUGAGAUCGACGACUCAAGAUUCGGAAAAUGAGGCAAAAUUGACGGAUAAAAAAAGUAUAAUUGUAUAAGAUCACCGAAUAUGAUGUGACCAGCUAUACAUAGUAGGCAUGGUAGAAGAAGAUGGCAAAGCAUUUCACUCAUAAACAUGUGAUUCUCUGAGAAUUGGACUUGAUACUAUAAGCAAAAUGUCUAUCGUAUUUGGUGUUGUACUGGCCUGACCAGUGAGUGUAACCAAGACGACUGGGUUUCGGUAAAGAUAAAACAAUCAGGAGCUGACUUUUAUUUCACUACCAAUCCAAAUGGUGAAAAACUGAAAAUACAAAUAUAAAUACGAUUUUACAAUGUGUUCAAUGAUAAUUAAAGUCCGUUAAAAAUACGGAUAAACAGUUCGUAGAUAUAUAAAGCUGUUAAAGUUCUUUAUAAUAAUAAAAAUAUGAAUAUUCUU